Molecule: ribosomal RNA, 497 nt
Filed under: uncultured bacterium
Lineage: Bacteria
Description: partial 16S ribosomal RNA
Rfam family: Bacterial small subunit ribosomal RNA
Source: RNAcentral
GACGAACGCUGGCGGCGUGCCUAAUACAUGCAAGUUGAGCGCUGAAGGUUGGUACUUGUACCCACUGGAUGAGCAGCGAACGGGUGAGUAACGCGUGGGGAAUCUGCCUUUGAGCGGGGGACAACAUUUGGAAACGAAUGCUAAUACCGCAUAAAAACUUUAAACACAAGUUUUAAGUUUGAAAGAUGCAAUUGCAUCACUCAAAGAUGAUCCCGCGUUGUAUUAGCUAGUUGGUGAGGUAAAGGCUCACCAAGGCGAUGAUACAUAGCCGACCUGAGAGGGUGAUCGGCCACAUUGGGACUGAGACACGGCCCAAACUCCUACGGGAGGCAGCAGUAGGGAAUCUUCGGCAAUGGACGAAAGUCCGACCGAGCAACGCCGCGUGAGUGAAGAAGGGUUUCGGAUCGUAAAACUCGGUUGGUAGAGAAGAACGUUGGUGAGAGUGGAAAGCUCAUCAAGUGACGGUAACUACCCAGAAAGGGACGGCUAACUACGUG